CCAGAUGGGAAAAUAAGGGGUUCAGGCGCCUGACGACGGACUCGUCCCCGCCGGCGAAGAUAGCAAGGGUGGCGUUCUUGGCGCCCCGGUCUCCGCCGGAGACGGGGGCGUCAACGGAGAAGCAGCCCCUGGAGGCAGCAGAGGAGGCGAUUUCGGCUGCGAGUGAAGGAUCAGAGGUGGUCAUGUCGACGAGGACUCCACCGGGGCGGAGUCCGGAGAGGGCGCCGGAGGAGGGGUCGAGGAGGACGGAGCGGACGUCGGAGGGGAAGCCGACAAUCGAGAAAACGACGUCGGAUUGGGAGGCGAGAGCGAGAGGAGAGGAGGCGUGGUGAGCCCCCAUGUCGAGGAGGGGUUGUGCCUUGGAGAUGGUGCGGUUGAAGAUAGUUACAGUAUAACCCGCUUUCAUCAGAUGAGCGCACAUCGACCGCCCCAUCACGCCGGUUCCAAUCCAGCCGACGCGGGU
This 463-nucleotide long non-coding RNA is filed under the name Vitis vinifera (wine grape). RNAcentral's name for it is "long non-coding RNA (VVIN_LNC003390)". Lineage: Eukaryota; Viridiplantae; Streptophyta; Magnoliopsida; Vitales; Vitaceae. The record is from RNAcentral.